UUUUUUCCCGGUGCCCCACGCCGUGGGGGUUAUCGCGUAGGGAUAUGUAGUGCCGGCGCCUGUAGUGGGUGUUCGGUGGGUGCGAACAACAUUUCCCUCGUUGGUGGGGGACAAGACCGCCAGG
RNAcentral lists this unclassified non-coding RNA (124 nucleotides) under Mycobacterium celatum. Its description in RNAcentral is "16S-23S ribosomal RNA intergenic spacer". Lineage: Bacteria; Bacillati; Actinomycetota; Actinomycetes; Mycobacteriales; Mycobacteriaceae. The record is from RNAcentral.